CGCAGGUCCGGCCGAGUAGCUCUGGUCGCACAUCCGCCCCAGGGGGGGGUUUAAGAAGAGCAGGAGUCUCCUUAUCAGUGGUGCUGUUUCAGUGUAACUCAAUAAAGGUCAAGGCGCCUCACUCUCGCAAAUAAUGGUGCGUUCCAGUUGUAGUCGAGUUGCAAAGAUGAACUGGAACGAUUAGACAAAAUCAGACUUCCUUCCGGGAGAGCGGGAGCAACUGCAACUACACCCCAGUUACGACUCGUAAGGCCGACUGUGUGUUUCAACAUGGCCGCUCUUCGCGUCAACAAUACUGUUGCACAUCUCACACGUUUCCAGUCCAGUGACCCCCGCCACAGUGUUUAUGCUUUUUCUCUCAGUCAUCGUCUCCAUAAUAUCUCCCUGAUUUCCCCUCCAUGUUGCCUCUAGUGUUGCUGAGUAAAUGCACAGCCUGGCAUUGGGCCUGUGGUGCACCUUCAGCUGCAGCGGAGGAAGUGGGUGGAUGUUUUUGCUUGGCUCCUGGGGGACACUCAAAGCCAGCAAGCCAUACUUCCAAAUGUACAUGACUGCUCUCACUCCUUUAAGAUCUCUGCUUCUCCUUUGAGUGCACGCAUGACCUUCCACCCCCACCACCGAAAUCAAUGGGCCCUUUCACUGAUUGCCCCUCAUAAUGACCCCCUGUUUGAGUCCAGAGUUAUCGAGGGGGCUGGAAGAAGAAACAAUUUCAUUCUGCAACUUGUCUGUCGAGCAGCACGUUGGAGGCAUAAAGUAACGAUAACAAGAUGGAACUUUAUAUUUUAUUAUCUUGUGAAGAGUGCUACAGUAUGUGUAGUUUCAAGGCUGUUCCAAGCAGUAUGUCACUUUGACAAAUUAAAUUUAGUUUUUAAACAUAUUGUUGAAACUGUCACUUUGCUGUGACAGUAUGGUGUGAGAUAGAUAAUCUGUUGGGGGAAAAAAUGUUCCUCUGCCUUCUCCCAGUGCAAUUAGAAACAACCAAUCAAAGCCGAUGGGAGGGAGAGGGUGUUAGCGCUGUAAAUCACCCCUAUGUACCUGAAACGGAAUAAAAUGGAAUUAAAUUUCUAUUUUAUUUUUUAAAACAAAAAUACAUUUUUUUAAAAGGGCUCUAGAUUGAACAUUUAAAUGUCGACUGCAUGUAUAAAGUGUAUUUGUAAGCAAAACAAGCAGAUUUGUCAUUUUUACAAUGCCGUCCAUUUGGUCUUUGGGGGAUAUUACUAAAAUUACCUUACAAAGACAGUAAAUACUUUUGCUCCGAAAAGGGAGACUAUCAUCUUUUCGUUAUUAUUCAUUUUGAAAAGUUAAAUGAAUUGUGUUUAA
Molecule: long non-coding RNA, 1317 nt
Organism: Xiphophorus hellerii (green swordtail)
Lineage: Eukaryota; Metazoa; Chordata; Actinopteri; Cyprinodontiformes; Poeciliidae
Exons: 4
Source: RefSeq, a predicted model, not a curated record